Long non-coding RNA from Salvia miltiorrhiza (redroot sage), 348 nucleotides. RefSeq lists it as uncharacterized. The record is from RefSeq and is a predicted model, not a curated record. NCBI's taxonomy places the organism in Eukaryota, Viridiplantae, Streptophyta, Magnoliopsida, Lamiales, Lamiaceae. The transcript is spliced from 2 exons.
GAUGAUCCCUGAAGACAUGAGAAGAGCAAGGAAGUAAGUAACUCCACUUUGACGGGAGAUUUUGAGUAAGGUCUUCAGGAUAAGCGGAGGGGGAGUAUGGUGCGGUGCUGGUGGAGAAUGUUUCGGGUUGACGUUUUCUUUCUCUAUCGUAUGUCUGUUUUGUCGAUAGAGUUUUGAUAUGAAGUUAUGUUAAAUACAGUUUGAUGUUUAAGAUACUUAAUUUCCUUUGAAAAUCAAGCAAUACACUCACGGUUAUAUGUCUUCAUACAUAUAAUCGAUUCGCCUUUUGCUGCGAUACUCUGCAUAUUAUUCUUCAUUAUGAAAAAUGAGCUAUACCCGUUUUGUUUU